RNAcentral lists this ribosomal RNA (534 nucleotides) under Cladophora vagabunda. RNAcentral describes it as "eukaryotic LSU rRNA". It matches the Rfam family "Eukaryotic large subunit ribosomal RNA", at positions 44 to 591 of the family's 3401-position model. The record is from RNAcentral. Lineage: Eukaryota; Viridiplantae; Chlorophyta; Ulvophyceae; Cladophorales; Cladophoraceae.
CAAUAAGCGGAGGAAAAGAAACCAACAGGGAUUCCCUUAGUAACGGCGAGCGAAAAGGGAUGAGCCCAGCAUGUAAAUCUCCGGUUUCCGGUGAAUUGUAGUCUGGAGUAGCAACUCCUGGUGCCGUGCCGGCCCAAGCAUCUUGGGAUAGAUCGCCUCAGAGGGUGAGAGCCCCGUAGGUCGGUACGAGCUCCUACACGGAGUGCUCACGCAGAGUCGGGUUGUUUGGGAAUGCAGCCCCAAUUGGGUGGUAAACCCCAUCUAAGGCUAAAUACCUGUGGGAGACCGAUAGCAAAAAAGUACCUCGAGGGAACGAUGAAAAGACCGCUGGCAAGCGAGUGAAAGAGUGCAUGAAAUUGUAUAGUGGGAAGGGAUGGCCUGGCGUAUUGCCCGCGGGUAUACACUGCUCCUCGAGCUCUUGAAUACACCGUGGGCUGGCUGGUGCCGACACCUGCGCUUGCAAAUCCCCAAACUAAGGUGUUUGGCUCUUCAAGCGCGGGUGUUGAGGUUGAUCGUCGCUCUGUUUUAAACUGC